GACGAACCGUGCGAACGUUAUUCGGAAUCACUGGGCUUAAAGGGCGCGUAGGCGGGUCAUCAAGUCCGGGGUGAAAUCCCACGGCCCAACCGUGGAAGUGCCUUGGAUACUGGAGACCUCGAGGGGGAUAGGGGCGUGCGGAACUCAGGGUGGAGCGGUGAAAUGCGUAGAUAUCCUGAGGAACACCGGUGGCGAAAGCGGCUUACUGGGUCUCUUCUGACGCUGAGGUACGAAAGCUAGGGGAGCGAACGGG
RNAcentral lists this ribosomal RNA (253 nucleotides) under uncultured bacterium. Its description in RNAcentral is "partial 16S ribosomal RNA". It matches the Rfam family "Bacterial small subunit ribosomal RNA", at positions 524 to 776 of the family's 1533-position model. The record is from RNAcentral.